This is a non-coding RNA of Perkinsus chesapeaki, 72 nucleotides long. Lineage: Eukaryota; Perkinsozoa; Perkinsida; Perkinsidae. The record is from the annotation of a GenBank genome assembly.
GCCUCUUUAGCUUAGUGGUAGACCGUCUGCUUUGUAAGCAGUAGGUCGUCAGCUCGAUCCUCGCCAGUGGCU